GACUUAGGUAAAUCCGGGUUGCUAUUAAGACUGAGACACGAGACGAGUCACUAAGGUGAUGAAGUUGUUGAUGCCAUACUUCCAGGAAAAGCCUCUAAGCUUCAGAUUAUAUGGAAUCGUACCCCAAACCGACACAGGUGGUCAGGUAGAGAAUACUAAGGCGCUUGAGAGAACUCGGGUGAAGGAACUAGGCAAAAUCGUACCGUAACUUCGGGAGAAGGUACGCUCCUAUCUGUGAUGAGACUUGCUCUCUAAGCGGACGGGAGCCGCAGUGACCAGGUGGCUGGGACUGUUUAUUAAAAACACAGCACUGUGCAAAAUCGCAAGAUGACGUAUACGGUGUGACACCUGCCCGGUGCCGGAAGGUUAAUUGAUGGGGUUAUCCUUAGGGAGAAGCUCUUGAUCGAAGCCCCGGUAAACGGCGGCCGUAACUAUAACGGUCCUAAGGUAGCGAAAUUCCUUGUCGGGUAAGUUCCGACCUGCACGAAUGGUGUAACCAUGGCCACGCUGUCUCCACCCGAGACUCAGUGAAAUUGAAAUCGCAGUGAAGAUGCUGUGUACCCGCGGCUAGACGGAAAGACCCCGUGAACCUUUACUACAGCUUGGCACUGAACAUUGAACCUACAUGUGUAGGAUAGGUGGGAGACUUUGAAGCAGCGACGCUAGUUGUUGUGGAGUCAACCUUGAAAUACCACCCUUGUAGUUUUGAUGUUCUAACGUUGGCCCCUGAAUCGGGGUUACGGACAGUGCCUGGUGGGUAGUUUGACUGGGGCGGUCUCCUCCUAAAGAGUAACGGAGGAGCACGAAGGUUGGCUAAGUACGGUCGGACAUCGUACGGUUAGUGUAAUGGUAGAAGCCAGCUUAACUGCGAGACAGACACGUCGAGCAGGUACGAAAGUAGGUCAUAGUGAUCCGGUGGUUCUGAAUGGAAGGGCCAUCGCUCAACGGAUAAAAGGUACUCCGGGGAUAACAGGCUGAUACCGCCCAAGAGUUCAUAUCGACGGCGGUGUUUGGCACCUCGAUGUCGGCUCAUCACAUCCUGGGGCUGAAGUCGGUCCCAAGGGUAUGGCUGUUCGCCAUUUAAAGUGGUACGCGAGCUGGGUUUAGAACGUCGUGAGACAGUUCGGUCCCUAUCUGCCGUGGGCGUUUGAGAAUUGAGAGGGGUUGCUCCUAGUACGAGAGGACCGGAGUGAACGAACCGCUGGUGUUCGGGUUGUCAUGCCAAUGGCAUUGCCCGGUAGCUACGUUCGGAACUGAUAAGCGCUGAAAGCAUCUAAGCGCGAAGCAGGCCUCGAGAUGAGUUCUCACUAGACUUUUAAAGUCUCUGAAGGGCCGUUGAAGACUACAACGUUGAUAGGCAAGAUGUGGAAGUGGUGUGAGCCAUUAAGCUAACUUGUACUAAUUACCCGUGAGGCUUAACCAUACAACGCCAAACGCGUUU
RNAcentral lists this ribosomal RNA (1441 nucleotides) under Pseudoalteromonas distincta. Its description in RNAcentral is "partial 23S ribosomal RNA". It matches the Rfam family "Bacterial large subunit ribosomal RNA", at positions 1529 to 2925 of the family's 2925-position model. The record is from RNAcentral. Lineage: Bacteria; Pseudomonadati; Pseudomonadota; Gammaproteobacteria; Alteromonadales; Pseudoalteromonadaceae.